RNAcentral lists this long non-coding RNA (903 nucleotides) under Populus trichocarpa (black cottonwood). RNAcentral's name for it is "long non-coding RNA (PTRI_LNC002953)". Lineage: Eukaryota; Viridiplantae; Streptophyta; Magnoliopsida; Malpighiales; Salicaceae. The record is from RNAcentral.
AAUUUAGUGCCAGCUAAAUUGGCACUUGUUCAUUCUUAUAUUGGAGAGAGAUUUGUUUGCCAUCCGCGACUGAAUCCUUGUAAGUCAAUUUAUAUACAAAUUUUAUAGGUAGUUAAGUUAGCAAUAUGGUUAUAAUAAAUUGGUUUGGUAGAGGUUGAACAUGGCGUGUCUAAUGUCUUUUCUCUUUGGUUUUUUCUGGGUAGAUUUCUGCCAAAGACUUCUUCAUAAUAUUAAAAUCCGUUUUGCCAGUUGUUCUUGAGUCAAGGAUAUAAAUAAACAUCUUAUGUGGGUUCUAGAAAAUGGGCUGACAUUAUCGUAUUAAGGGAUUGGGUCUGAAUAAAAAAUUAUCCACAAGUUCAAAAUAUGGAAAAAAGCAAUCUGCAUUACCAAUAUAUAUGCGUACUUGAAUAUAACCUCUUCCCAUGUGUCUGAGGCAAAGGGGUCCAGUGUAGCUCCCAUGUGCGUAUUUUGCAAAGAUGGAUCAGGAACUUUUCUGUUCACAAGAGUUAUGCUUUUAUUACCAAGAUACAAAGAAAGUUGGAGAUUAAUUAUUCUACCGAAAAUAUCAUAUUAAAAGUUUCCUCUUUCCGGUUAGGGUAGUGACAUCCUCCUUCGACCUCCAUUGAUUAUUACUCUACAAUACCAAAUUCGAUUAAUCUAUGAUGAGAGAUUUGCAAGAUUACCAUUUGUAGAAACUGAUGAUAUUCUUACUAGUACGGCUUAUCAAAUUACAAACAAACUUCUUUCAUUCAUCAGAUUCACCAUAACAUGUUGCAUGGAUAGUUGGACACACAAAUAUAAACUGUCCAAGUGUGGAUUUGCCAUUAUUACUGUUGUCACAGCCUCAUCGCUCUCAAGAAAAUCACAAUCCCUGCAUCUACCACUGCAGCAGGCCCCACCACC